This 335-nucleotide unclassified non-coding RNA is filed under the name soil metagenome. Its description in RNAcentral is "partial contains 5.8S ribosomal RNA, internal transcribed spacer 2, and large subunit ribosomal RNA". The stretch from base 2 to 120 matches the Rfam family "5.8S ribosomal RNA", at positions 36 to 154 of the family's 154-position model. The record is from RNAcentral.
UAUGAAGAACGUAGCGAAAUGCGAUAAGUAAUGUGAAUUGCAGAAUUCAGUGAAUCAUCGAAUCUUUGAACGCACAUUGCGCCCGCCAGUAUUCUGGCGGGCAUGCCUGUUCGAGCGUCAUUUCAACCAUCAAGCCCCCGGCUUGUGUUGGGGACCUGCGGCUGCCGCAGGCCCUGAAAACCAGUGGCGGGCUCGCUAGUCACUCCGAGCGUAGUAAUACAUCUCGCUCAGGGCGUGCUGCGGGUUCCGGCCGUUAAAAAGCCUUAUUUACCCAAGGUUGACCUCGGAUCAGGUAGGAAGACCCGCUGAACUUAAGCAUAUCAAUAAGCGGAGGA